UUUUGUUCCGUUGGUCUAUUUG
Molecule: microRNA, 22 nt
Filed under: Macaca fascicularis (crab-eating macaque)
Lineage: Eukaryota; Metazoa; Chordata; Mammalia; Primates; Cercopithecidae
Description: novel_miR12-3p
Source: RNAcentral